RNAcentral lists this long non-coding RNA (6016 nucleotides) under Homo sapiens (human). RNAcentral's name for it is "HSALNT0024034". The record is from RNAcentral. Lineage: Eukaryota; Metazoa; Chordata; Mammalia; Primates; Hominidae.
AUUUAUUAAUGUGCCACCAGGCCUUACACCAAGAGAGCCAUUCCAGAGAAAAGUCCUUUUUCUCCUGAGAACAGUGCCAGCAGCUGGCUUCGUGACAUUCUGGAAGCCCCGUGCAAUGCUGUCAGGAGCAUAGGGAUUUUACUUUAUCUCCCUUGCUUAUGCUCCACAUAACUGAAAUAUCUCACUGGAAGCUGCAGCAGUGCUGGCCCCUUGCACAGCCAUAUGUGACCACUGCAGAACAAUCAGUUGGAGAGACAGUUUGGACUACAUGGAGGGUGGAGAUAAGGACAAAGUGAAGAAUACACAGGAACCAGUGCCUCCUCCUGGAACUAUGCAACUCCAAGCUGCUUCCAUCAGCUGCUAGGUCCAGUAGGGAGGGACCUACUGAGAGCAUUGCCAGAAAACUCAUUUCUCAGUGACACCAUUGUAAUUACUCAUUUGAUUAUCCCGCAAUACACAUAUAAGAGUCUCAGGAAAACAGUACCAUCAGCAUUAUAUGAGCUAAUUAAAAAUGUGGUGUCCUGGACUCACGAAGCCAGAAUUGCUGAGGAGAUAGCCCGAGAAUCUGAAUUUUUAGCAGACAUUUUUUUAGGUACCUUACCCGCAGGAUCAUUUCUGUGAAUAUCCAUGAGGUGAAAAAGUCUGGGAAACACUGUCCUAGGGUGUGGGGAAGAGCGAGAAAAAGAUUUCCGCUCUGGAAGGUAAACAAAUACUCUCUGGAGAGAGAAGAGGAAUGUCCCUAGCAGAUGUCUCCAGAGAAGACAAGACUUUAAAUUCCGCCAGGGAAAUAUACAAUGUCUAACUUCUAAGGCACAUUUGCCAUUCAAUCAUGCUUUAACCCACGUUGCCAGAAAUUUUUGCUCACUAGGUUUUGACUGUACAGGAAUGUGAAAAUAUUCAUGAAGAGUUGUUUUCCAAUGCUAAAGAAUUGAUGUGUUUUAACAGUUGAAUUAAUUGUAUUGAUUAUGAUCACACCUACUUUUUAUAUAUCUUCAUUUCUAACGUUUCUGUACAAUCCUGCCUUUCCACCUGAUAUAGUUAGGCCUUGUGUCAUCAACCAAAUCUCAUCUUGAAUUGUAAUCGCCAUAAUCCCCACGUAUUUAGGGAGAGACCUGGAGGGAGGUGUUUGGAUCAUGGGGGCGGUUUCCCGCAUGCUGUUCUCAUGACCAUGAGAGUAAGUUCUCAAGAGAUCUGAUGGUUUUAUAAGCGUCUGUCAUUUCCACUGCUUGCACUUCUGUGUCCUGCCACCUUGUGAAGAAGGACGUGGUUGCUUCCCCUUCCACCAUGAUUGUGUUUCCUGAGGCCUCCCCAGCCUUGCAGAGCUGUGAGUCAAUUAAACCUCUUUCCUUUAUAAAUUACUCAGUCUCUGUAUUCCUCUGCAGCAGUGUGAGAACAGACUAAUACAUCACCACUUUAUUUACUUUACUCUCUCCCCAUACCGAGGUUUUCUACAUUUUCUUUCUAGGUCUCUACAGUUUCUGCAAAGAUCCUUUAUGGAACUCUUAGGGAAGCUGGGAUGUAUAAUAAAUAAAGGGCUCUUUUCUUUGAGUCCCACACCCAUUUUCUGUGUAUAAAAAUCUUCAACUCCACUUUUGUCUGUUCUAUUUAAAUGUGUGCACAUUUCCUUCUAAUGUUGUAUAUGAAAAAGAGACACCUCUUAGCAGUCUUUCAUAGAGCAAAAUUUUUUACUUUGAUAAAAUCUAAUUUAUCAAUAUUUUUAAAUUUUAUGGAUCAAUCAUGCUUUUGAGGUUGAAUUUAAGAAUGCUUUGCCUAGCCCUAGAUCCCAAGUAUCUUUUAAAAAUUAUUUUUCUAAAUGCAUUAUUUAUGUUUUACACUUAAGUCUAUAAUCCAUUUUGAGUCCAUGUGUAAGAUUUAGGUUAAGGUCAAGAUUUAUCUGUUUUUGUUGUUUUCUCUAUAAAUGUCAAUUGCUCCAGCACUAUUUGUUUAAAAGCCAAUCUUUCCUCCGCUGAGUUCUUCCUAUAAGUUUGUCAAAAGUCAAUUUGGCAUCUUUGUAUAAGUUUAUUUCUGGAUUCUCUAUUCUGUUUUAUUGAUCACUGCAUCUAUCCCUCUUGAUUAGCUAGAUAAUAAAUCCUACAAUAAGGUAGAAUUCUUCCCACUUUAUUCAUAUUCAAAAUAUUUUAAAGCUAUUCUAGUUUCUUUUUAUUUCCAUAUAUAUUUUAGGAUAAUCUUAUCUAUAUUUACAACAUAUGUUGCUAGGAUUUUGAUAGAAUUUGUUUUAAAUUUGUGUAUCAAUGUAGGGAAGACCUGACAUCUUUACUAUUACGUUGAUCUUCCAAUCAAUGAAUAUGGUAUAUCUCUCAGUUUAUAGCUAUUGUCUUUAAUUUAUUUCAUCAUGGUUUUUAGUUUUCAGCAGAGAAGCUUUAUACAUGUUUUGUUAUACAUGUAUAACAAAAGAAGCCUUAUACACUGACAUUUUAUAUUUUGAACAAUUGUAAAUGGUAUUGUUUAAAAAUUUUGUUGUCUAUGAUAGAAAUAAAAUUGAUUUUUGUAGGUUUAUCUUGUAACCUAUGACUUGCUGAGCUCGCUCAUUAGUUUUUUUAUUGUGAUAAAAUAUACAUGAGAUAAAUUUCAUCAUUAUAAUCAUUAAGUUUAGACAUCAAUUGCAUUAAGUACAUAAAUGCCUUAUGCAACCAUCAUCUCUAUCCAUCUCCAGACCCUUUGCAUCACCCUAAAAUGAAACUCUGUGCCCAUUAAACAAUAACUCCCCAUUCUGCCCUCACCCCAGCCCUUGGUAAUUACCAUCCUACCUUUUAUCUCUAUAAAUUUAACCAUCCCAGGUAACUCAUAUAAGUGGAAUCAUGCAGUGUUUGUCCUUUUGUAACUGGUUUAUUUCACUUAGCAUGAUGUCUUCAAGGUUUGCCUAUGUCAUAGCAUGUGUCAGAAUUUCAUCCCUUUUUAAACUUAAAUAAUAUUCCACUGUAGGCAUAUGCCACAUUUUGUUUAUUUGUUCAUCUGUUGAUGGGCAUUUGGGUUGUUUCCACCUUUUGGCUACUGUGAAUAAUGCUGCUGUGAUCAUGGGUAUGCAACUGUCUCCUGGAGUCCCUGCUAUCAAUUCUUGUGGGUAUAUACCCAGAAGUGGAAUUGUUGCAACAUAUAGUAAUUCUAUGUUUAAUUUUUUGAGGACCUGCCAUAAUGUUUUCCACAGUAGCUACAUUGUCUUAUAUUCCCAUUAAGAGUUCCAAUUUCCUCACAUCUUCACCAAUACUUAUUGUUUUCUGUUUUUUUAAAUAAUAGCCAUCAUAAUAAAAGUAACAUGGUAUCUCAUUGUGGUUUUAACUGCAUUUCCCUUUUUACUGGAUUGUUUGUAAUAUUGCUGUAAUUGAGUUGUAGGAGUUUUUAAAUAUGUUCUGAAUAAUUAAUUUCUUAUCAGAUAUGUCAUUUGCAAAUAUUUUCUGCCAUUCUCUGGGUUGUCAUUUCACUCUCUUGAUAGUGUCCUUUGAUGCACAGAAGUUUUGAAAUUUGAUAAAGUUUAAUUUGCGUAUGUAUUUAUUUUGUUGCUUAUGCUUUUGGUGUCAUAUCCAAGAAAUUAUUGCCAAAUUCAGUGUCAUGAAGAUUUUCCCCUGUGUUUUCCUCUAAGAGUAUUAUAGUUUUAACUCUUGCACUUAGAUUGAUCCGCUUUGAGUUAAUUUUAGUAUAUGGGGUAAGACAAGGGCUCAAAUUUGUUCUUUUGUUUGAAGAUUCUAGGUCAUUUGUGAUCUUUAGGAUUUUCUAUGUAGACAUUAAUGUCAUCUUCAAAUAUGAACAGUUUAUUUCUUCCUUUUGUAUAUGUAUGAAUUUACUUUCCUUUUCUUGCCUUAUUGCACUGGCUAGAGUUUUCAGUACUAUGAUGAAUAAAAUCAGUGAGAGCAGACACCCUUGCUUUGUUUCUAAUCUUAGGAGGAAAGCUUUCAGUCUUUCAUCAUUAGGUAUACUGUUAGUUGUAGGCUUAUUAUAGAUGCUCUUUAUCAGGUUGAGGCAGUUUCCUCCUUGGUUAAGACUUUCUAUUUUUCAUUUUCAGUUAUGACCAGGCAUGUUCAUAACUGCUCAUCAAAACUUUGAAUUAGUGGCUGCUUUAACAUCCUUCUCAGACAAUUCUAACAUCUGUUUUGUUGGUGGUGGCAUCUAUCAAUUGUCUUUUUCAUUCUGUUUGAGAUCUUCCUUGCGUUUGGUAUGAUUUUUUUAAAUAUUAUGUCAUGAAACUGCAUCUUAUUUAAAUCUUCUGUUUUAGUUGGCUAUGUCUGACAUCACUUCCCCAGGGGAAGGUGUUGUUACUGCUAGUGGAGGGUGAGAAUUAUGGCUCUCCACUGACAUUGUGGUGGGAUUGGUCCCAUUACCACUGGGCAGGGUUGAAAGUCCUGACUUUCUGCUAGGCCUUCUCUGACUUCAUCGCAGCAGGAGGAAAAGAUGCCUCUGGAGUUGAAGUCAGGUUGCACUGACACUGUGUGUGUAUGGAGGUAGGCUGGGGUGAAAGUGGAGACUCAUUACCACAUGGUGAGUAGUUUCCAGCUCUCUAUUUGGCCUUCUCUGAUACCACCCAGACAGGGACAUUGGGGAUACCUCAUUACAGCCUAGUGAGGGUCAAACUCUAGGCUCCCCACUCAGUCUUUGCUAUCAUGGACACUGUAGGACCAUAGUUUUUUCUGUGCUGUUUGCUUGAUGUGUCUUCCUUGGACCCUGAGUUCCAUAGCUGGUCUGCAUUCCUCUCUCCACCUUUAAGACGUCUUCUUAUGUUUAUUUCAUAUUUAACAUCCAGGGUGGUAAUUAGAGGGAAGAAUAGAGGGAAAAGUACAGUUGCACUUUGUUGUUCAAAGAGCAGUUUUGAACUGCACAGACCCAUUUCUCUGAGCACACCCAGGGAUGAUUGUACUUGUAUAAAAUUUUUUUCCUGGAUGCAGAAUUCUCAAUUGACUGUGAAAGUUCAUAACAAAGAAAACAGUGGGGAAGACAAAUCUGGAAAUGAGGAAAAUAAAAAUUAAAUAGUGAGACCACCCAUGGAGCUUGUGGCAAAGCCUGAAUUGAAUCCGCUGUAUCUUAAGAUUGUGCCUCAUUCUAAAUUUAAGUCACCCUUCUCAUUAUGAAAGUGUCACAACUUCUCAGUAGGUGAGGAGACAGUCUAAAUUUGAGAAAAGAAAGUUACAACAAAGGUUUUGAGCAAGCUGCUAAGUGGAUUUAUUCAUGUUUGAGAAAUCAAAUAUAUGGUUAAUGAGCUCUUUAACUAGAAGCCAACACUAGGGAGGAGUAGACAGAAGUCACGGGGAGGGAGCCCCCGGACAUUUCAAAAGACUUUGCCCUGCAACAUCUCCUCCACAUUUAAGCUUUUAGGUUAUUGUAGCCACAUCACAAGCAUGUUACCUACCCAGAUAUUGUCUGCGCAUCAUUCCCAAAAGCUUCCCUGGGUCUUCAUAAUAUUAAUGAGAUUCUCCCCCAGGUUAGACCCCUUUGGCUUGAGUCAGAAACAGAAUUAAUCCGGGGGACAAUCCAGCAGCACCCAUCUCUGGGUUGCAGAAAUAUCUGAGGUGACCAGGCAGUGUUUGGAGUCCCCUCAGUUAGCUAACAAAGUGAGUUCACAGCUUCCAAGACCCCAGGCUUUCCAGGCUAAUAAAGAGCUGAGGUUAUAGGCUCUCCUUAUCAAACGCUCUUUGGCAGCUGCCAUAACCAUUCCAAGUCUAGUCCUAGAAUAGAAAUGACGCGGUUUCAGGAGCUGACAGAUGGAACUUUAAGCCUUCCUUCCUGCCACAUCUGAAGUUCUUUUUUAAAAAAAUAGAAAACCAUGACAAUAAACACUCCUUGAAUGCCCUGUGGAAAAGUGUACUCCUCAGAAUUCACUAAAGUGGGGUGAAGCAGUGGGUUGUGGUGCUGAGAAAACAUCUCUUCCCCUCGGCAGUAUAUUGGAAUCUCAUAGAAACUUCUGUGGCUGGGAAGCAAACAUGCUCUCUGCCCCAUUGCUCUUAUUCAUCUUUAGACCUGAUAAUACAGUUUGAACUUCAAGUUGCACUUUAAAUGGCAUGCAUUUUUA